UACAGAGGGUGCAAGCGUUAAUCGGAAUUACUGGGCGUAAAGCGUGCGUAGGUGGUGAGUUAAGUCUGUCGUGAAAGCCCCGGGCUCAACCUGGGAAUGGCGAUGGAUACUGGCUCGCUAGAGUGCGGUAGAGGAGAGUGGAAUUCCCGGUGUAGCAGUGAAAUGCGUAGAGAUCGGGAGGAACAUCAGUUGCGAAGGCGGCUCUCUGGACCAGCACUGACACUGAGGCACGAAAGCGUGGGGAGCAAACAGG
Molecule: ribosomal RNA, 253 nt
Filed under: uncultured bacterium
Lineage: Bacteria
Description: partial 16S ribosomal RNA
Rfam family: Bacterial small subunit ribosomal RNA
Source: RNAcentral